This 274-nucleotide ribosomal RNA is filed under the name uncultured bacterium. Its description in RNAcentral is "partial 16S ribosomal RNA". It matches the Rfam family "Bacterial small subunit ribosomal RNA", at positions 28 to 295 of the family's 1533-position model. The record is from RNAcentral.
GACGAACGCUGGCGGCGUGCUUAACACAUGCAAGUCGAGCGGUAAGGCCCUUUCGGGGGUACACGAGCGGCGAACGGGUGAGUAACACGUGGGUGACCUGCCCUUAGCUCUGGGAUAAGCCUGGGAAACUGGGUCUAAUACCGGGAUAUGACUCCAUGACGCAUGUUGGUGGGGGUAGGAAAGCCUUGUGCGGCGUAGGGAGUCGGGCCCGCGGCCUAUCAGCUUGUUGGGUGGGGUGANGGCCUACCAAGGCGACGACGGGUAGCCGGCCUGA